GACGAACGCUGGCGGCGUGCUUAACACAUGCAAGUCGAACGGAAAGGCCCUGCUUUUGUGGGGUGCUCGAGUGGCGAACGGGUGAGUAACACGUGAGUAACCUGCCCUUGACUUUGGGAUAACUUCAGGAAACUGGGGCUAAUACCGGAUAGGAGCUCCUGCUGCAUGGUGGGGGUUGGAAAGUUUCGGCGGUUGGGGAUGGACUCGCGGCUUAUCAGCUUGUUGGUGGGGUAGUGGCUUACCAAGGCUUUGACGGGUAGCCGGCCUGGGAGGGUGACCGGCCCCAUUGGGACUGGGAUACGGCCCAGGCCCCCAGGGGGGGCAGGGGGGGGAAAUUUUGCAAAAUGGGCGGAGGCCUGAUGCAGCAACCCCGGGUGCGGGAUGACGGCCUUCGGGUUGUAAACCGUUUUCGCCUGGGACGAGGCGUGAGUGACGGUAAUGGUUAAAGAAGCCCCGGCUAACUACGG
Molecule: ribosomal RNA, 467 nt
Filed under: uncultured bacterium
Lineage: Bacteria
Description: partial 16S ribosomal RNA
Rfam family: Bacterial small subunit ribosomal RNA
Source: RNAcentral